RNAcentral lists this ribosomal RNA (119 nucleotides) under uncultured bacterium. RNAcentral's name for it is "partial 16S ribosomal RNA". The record is from RNAcentral.
GGCGGCGUGCCUAACACAUGCAAGUCGAACGGUAAUGUGGGUUAACAGCGGCGGAGGGGUGAGUAGGGGGAAAGAGUAGAAAUACGGGCGGGGUUGGUGGGUUAGUAACCGGUGAAAAA